Long non-coding RNA from Erpetoichthys calabaricus (reedfish), 2838 nucleotides. RefSeq lists it as uncharacterized. The transcript has 2 exons. Lineage: Eukaryota; Metazoa; Chordata; Cladistia; Polypteriformes; Polypteridae. The record is from RefSeq and is a predicted model, not a curated record.
CCUGCUGAGAGAUCAGGUAAGGCAUAAUAAAUAAUCAGGGGCAUCGAUACAGCAGGCCGCAUCUCAGACUUGACCUCAGAGCCGUGGAACAAGACAGAUAUGAUCAAGGAAAAAAGACGGACAUUUUAACUCAUCAAAGAUCAGCUGAGGCCGAAAGCUUCUUGCAGAUUCACCGGGGCAGCUACAUGGAGCUUGAAAGAGAAAAACAUGAUGGGUAAAGAAAACCGACCCCCAUAACUGCUCAAUGACAUCUCAGGGUGACAAGGGCACAAGCUGAGCCAACACGUCUCAUUGAGCCCUCAGGGGCUUUGUGGUCUGUACCUGUGAGAACCUCCAAAUCAGAGCGAGAAGACCACCUAGAGUGACCAUCACACCCAUGACUGGAAGUAUCCGGAAAAAAAUCCUAGUGAUUUGUGGAGAGUUGCGGUGCACGGCCAUAGAUGGAUUAUAGACAGAAAGAUGAAAGGCACUAUAUAACAGGAAGGAAGGUAGACAGAAUGACAGAGUGCCUUUAACACAAUGACUGCCACGGUGACAACAGAUCAUGAGGCAAGUCUUUUGGGUGUUCCCAGCAUGCAAUGGAGUGUACGUACUAAAAGGGGCUCAAGUCAGGACAACUGCUGAAAUGAUGACACGGUCAUGGGCCCACUGAUGUGUGCGGAAAACAAAGGUUUGCCCAUCUGCUGUGAUCCCACAGAAGAGCUACUGUACCACAAAUUUCUGAAAAGGUUAAUGGUGGCCGUGAGAUAAAAGUGUCAGAACACACAAGUGCAUCACAGCUUGCUGCGUAGCUGCAGACAGGUCCCAUGCGGACCCACUGUCCACUGCUGAAAGCACCUACAUUGGGCAUGUCAGCGUCAGAACUGGACAAUGGAGAAAUGGAAGAAGGUGGCCUGGUCUGAUGAUUAAAACAAUUUUUUUUUAAAUCAUGAGGACAGCCCGGUAAGCGUGCAUUGUUUACCUCAGAAAGAAACGGCAGCAGGAUGCACUUAGGGAAGAAUGGCAAGCCGGCGGAGGCAGUGGGAUGCUCUGGACAACAUUCUGCCGGUAAACCUUGAGUCCUGGUAUUCAUGUGGACGUUACUUUGACACGUACCACCACCUACUUAAACGAUUGCUGCAGACCAUGUAUACCCCAUUCAUGGCAACAGUAUUCUUUCAACAGGAUAAUGUGCUAUGCCACACUUUAACAGUUGCUCAGGAAUGGUGUGAUGAACUUGACAAAUGGUUCAAGGUGUUGAUUUUGCCUUGAAAUUCCACUGAUCAACAAGUCAAACAAGUCUGACCCAUGGAGGGCACACCUUGCAACUUACAGGACGUAAAGGAUCUGCCACGAGGGUCUUGUUGCAGACACCACAGGACAUCUUCAGAAGUCUUGUGGAGUCCAUGCCUCGAUGGGUCAGAGCUGUUAUCAUGUUGGUCCCCACCUCAUGCCACCAAAUUAUUCGGGUGCAUUUAAUGUUGUGGCUGAUUGGUGUAAGUACUAAAGUAAUAAACCUGUUUUUAACACACACACACAAAUUCUUAGCUUUUGAUGUUCUGUGCAUUUAACUUUGCUUUCAUCACCAAGGGCCCAAUCAGUUGAGAGUACAGAUUAUAAAGCAGCCCACUAAACAAGAAAACCAGAAGCACUCGGCACAAUCUGCCUUCAAAUGACCCUAAGGUGCUACGAGGUGGACAGUUCUGGCUAAUUCCAGUAGACCACCGAAGAGGAAGGGUGGGUAAGCACUGUAAUUGCCAAGCAUGGAGGCGGAGAUGAAUCUGAAGAGUUACCUCUUUUUGAAUUUUUCCCCAUUUAAAGCUAGACACAGGCGUGUCCCAUGUGCACCCCCCUUUCUCGUGCUUUUUGUCUACUUCAGUAAAAGGUACCAGUUCCUCCUGUGCUGAGGUACUGUGCUUUGCUUAACAGUCGCGCUCAAGACACACAAAAACGCUUUCCCCACACUUACCAAGCCAGGGCACCCACAUAAGGACAAGCCAGGAAAGUAACAAAGCUUAGCAUCCUCUGCAGUGACAUAACCGCCUGAGACCUUUUCAGAUUCCAGCCUCCCAGUGAACCCAUCAUAAACAUCCUUAUCGGCAGCAAGGCUCCAGAACGGUGGGAGCGGCUGCCACAGCCAAUUGCCACACUCCUGUUGGCCCCGACACUUUGUGUGCUGGAAUGUGCUCAGCUGACACAAUGUGUUGAUAGCACUGAAGCAAAUUUUAUUUUGGUAAAGUCGCCACCACCGAAACUGCCGUGACAUGCAGUCCCACACCCUGCACUGGGCAGAUUGAAAAGUGAACUGACUGAAUCAUAAAGAGAAGGAGAUGGCAGUGGGGACGAAGGGCCUAAUCCACUAGGGGGUUCUGCUGCCUGUCCGAUGAUGCAGCUCAGUGGCACAUUGGAGAGCAGUUGAACACAACUGGAACCCCGAGGAGGAGUAAUAAUGGCAGGAGUGGUAUCACGUACACAGAUUACAAUUGCACUGUUAAGUCCCCAGCACACUACACAACGUUCCCUAUUUUUAGUCACAGCCUUCAUGUUAAUUAUCAAACCAAAUCAGGGACAAUUGCAGUGGCGCCAGUGAGCAUGCCCGCAGCUCGCUUCGCUCACCCACUCCUGGGUUUGGUUAACCAGAUAUACAAGAUUGUUAUUUUCAUGGGAAUUGUUACAUUUGCAUUAUUUUCACUUUUACUUUAAAACUUUUGUGAAAACAUUAUUUAGAAUUAACUUUUCUUCAAGAUCGCAUUGAAUUUUGAUUCCAUGUUUGGACUUACAGCAUGACAACGCAACGUAUAACUGCCUGUGAGUGCAUAUCGUUUCUUUCUCUCUAAUAAAUAAAACAACUUUUUCGAA